UUGCAGGUUGUUCAAGGGUGGUCGAGU
RNAcentral lists this non-coding RNA (27 nucleotides) under Rattus norvegicus (Norway rat). Lineage: Eukaryota; Metazoa; Chordata; Mammalia; Rodentia; Muridae. The record is from RNAcentral.